RNAcentral lists this ribosomal RNA (253 nucleotides) under uncultured bacterium. RNAcentral describes it as "partial 16S ribosomal RNA". It matches the Rfam family "Bacterial small subunit ribosomal RNA", at positions 524 to 776 of the family's 1533-position model. The record is from RNAcentral.
CACGUAGGGCGCAAGCGUUGUCCGGAAUUAUUGGGCGUAAAGAGCUCGUAGGCGGUCUGUUGCGUCCGCUGUGAAAACCCGGGGCUUAACCCCUGGCUUGCAGUGGAUACGGACAGACUAGAGGUAGGUAGGGGAGAAUGGAAUUCCCGGUGUAGCGGUGAAAUGCGCAGAUAUCGGGAGGAACACCGGUGGCGAAGGCGGGUCUCUGGGCAGUAACUGACGCUGAGGAGCGAAAGCGUGGGGAGCAAACAGG